GGGCGGUUAGCUCAGUUGGUCAGAGCGCUUGUUUUACACACAAGAGGUCACAGGUUCGAGCCCUGUACCGCCCA
RNAcentral lists this transfer RNA (74 nucleotides) under Thermoflexales bacterium. Its description in RNAcentral is "tRNA-Val". It matches the Rfam family "tRNA". Rfam says of the family: Transfer RNA (tRNA) molecules are approximately 80 nucleotides in length. Their secondary structure includes four short double-helical elements and three loops (D, anti-codon, and T loops). Further hydrogen bonds mediate the characteristic L-shaped molecular structure. tRNAs have two regions of fundamental functional importance: the anti-codon, which is responsible for specific mRNA codon recognition, and the 3' end, to which the tRNAs corresponding amino acid is attached (by aminoacyl-tRNA synthetases). tRNAs cope with the degeneracy of the genetic code in two manners: having more than one tRNA (with a specific anti-codon) for a particular amino acid; and 'wobble' base-pairing, i.e. permitting non-standard base-pairing at the 3rd anti-codon position. Lineage: Bacteria; Bacillati; Chloroflexota; Thermoflexia; Thermoflexales. The record is from RNAcentral.